Molecule: transfer RNA, 72 nt
Filed under: Cocleimonas flava
Lineage: Bacteria; Pseudomonadati; Pseudomonadota; Gammaproteobacteria; Thiotrichales; Thiotrichaceae
Rfam family: tRNA
About the family: Transfer RNA (tRNA) molecules are approximately 80 nucleotides in length. Their secondary structure includes four short double-helical elements and three loops (D, anti-codon, and T loops). Further hydrogen bonds mediate the characteristic L-shaped molecular structure. tRNAs have two regions of fundamental functional importance: the anti-codon, which is responsible for specific mRNA codon recognition, and the 3' end, to which the tRNAs corresponding amino acid is attached (by aminoacyl-tRNA synthetases). tRNAs cope with the degeneracy of the genetic code in two manners: having more than one tRNA (with a specific anti-codon) for a particular amino acid; and 'wobble' base-pairing, i.e. permitting non-standard base-pairing at the 3rd anti-codon position.
Source: Rfam by way of RNAcentral
GUCCCCAUCGUCUAGUGGUUAGGACACCGCCCUUUCACGGCGGUAACCGGGGUUCGAGUCCCCGUGGGGACG